CAGUCCCGGAUUAGAUCCAGACAUAACUCCAUUAGCACAAAGAAGAGGAGAAAGAAUUUGGGUAGAUAGAGAGCACUUUCUGCUAUAUUCCUAAUGCCUGUGUGAUGUUUAUCAAGCUUUUCAACUACUGAAUUUUCACCCUAGUUCUGCACGACAGUUAUUAGGAUCCCAGUUCUACAGAGGUGCUUAAGUAAAGCACAUGAAGUCUCACAGUUGAGAGCUGAUCUAAGCUUCAAUUUCAGGUCUGCUGGUCAGUGGUUUCUCUAUUAUAAAUACCAAAUUGAAAUAUUUGCAUUGCACAUAGUCAUUAGCAUAAAUUUGCAUACGAUGGAGUUUGAGGGACAAAGAAGCAUCAUUGUGAAAGGUAAUGGGAAGAGCUAAAGCAUGCCACACAGGCCCAGGGCUGGUCUCCAAGUAUUAAGAGGACUCUAGAUAACCUGAUGAGAAUUUAAGAAGUGAAAUUUCUUUUCAAAGAGUGGAGAGGGUGGAGCUGAUGUACUGUUGGUAAUUGAAGCAUUUGCUCAUUUUUCUCUCACUCUCAAUUGGCUUUCAAAGCACAUCCAAGGACAGAAGAAUUGCAAGAAACAUUCUGAUUAGGGGUAAAAGUGAAUCAAUAAAGGAGGCCAGAAUCUGAAAAUACUAAAAAUAAAGAUAUAUAUGGUCGUUCCCCGCACACAGAGAAAUGGUUUUGUACGGGCAGGUGGGUUUGCAGAUUGCUAGAGAAGCUAACCUCCCUCCCAUCCUCCACCCAUCAGGCACACUCAUAAAUCAUUUGCUGCUUCAACUCUUUUAUGCUUGCUAUGAAAAUCCAGCCAUAAACUGCCGAUAAACCAAGCUCCUGCCUUUUGGAGGCAUCAUCAAGCAAUCCCUGAGCACAACUUGGAAAAAUCCUACCUGGUUUCCUCUUCUGUGUAAAUGAAAUUUCUACAAAAACAAAGAGUCCCUAAGUAUGGGAGGUAUAAUUAUUUCUAGUUGGAACCUUCAAAAAAGAUGGCGAUUCUAAUAUUUCAGGAUGGUUUCUCUUCUAACUCCCUCCCUAUGCACAGUAAUAUGAUUUUACAGAAAUAAAG
RNAcentral lists this long non-coding RNA (1070 nucleotides) under Marmota monax (woodchuck). The record is from RNAcentral. Lineage: Eukaryota; Metazoa; Chordata; Mammalia; Rodentia; Sciuridae.